RNAcentral lists this transfer RNA (75 nucleotides) under Deinococcus sp. RL. RNAcentral's name for it is "tRNA-Val". It matches the Rfam family "tRNA". From Rfam's summary of the family: Transfer RNA (tRNA) molecules are approximately 80 nucleotides in length. Their secondary structure includes four short double-helical elements and three loops (D, anti-codon, and T loops). RNAcentral also lists the same sequence under 1 other name. Lineage: Bacteria; Thermotogati; Deinococcota; Deinococci; Deinococcales; Deinococcaceae. The record is from RNAcentral.
GGGCGGUUAGCUCAGCGGUAGAGCACUCGCUUCACACGCGAGGGGUCACGUGUUCAAAUCACGUACCGCCCACCA